Eriocheir sinensis (Chinese mitten crab) is the source of this 5646-nucleotide long non-coding RNA. RefSeq lists it as uncharacterized. The record is from RefSeq and is a predicted model, not a curated record. Lineage: Eukaryota; Metazoa; Arthropoda; Malacostraca; Decapoda; Varunidae. The transcript has 3 exons.
CACUGCCUUAUCCCCCUGCCAGACCCUUCAUAUGCAGUAAGACCUCCUCACCCUCUCAGUCCAUCCCUUCACUCCUUUCUCUUUCUGCCAGACCCUUCCCAUGUUGUAAGACCCUUUCCUCUCCCUCAGUCUAUCCCCCCUCCUCAGCCUCCCUGCUCCCUCCUACCCUAUAUAAAACAGGGAAGAAAUGAGCUAUCAAUGAACUGAGAAUAAGGUGGGUUGGUAUUUUUGACACAAUUGUACUUCCACUUUGCCCUCAAGGCUGUUAAUAGCAUAGUAGUAGUACCAGUUUUUGUGUACUACUUUAUUUGCAUUUUAUAUAUGUAUAGCGAGGACCAUUUUGUUAUGUGAUUGUUAUUUAUACAUAUGUACGUCAGUUGAGGCUCUUGGUAACCUAGUUGGACAAGCCCCCCCCCAGAACCCAAUAGAAAAAAUGGAAUAAAACACAUAUUGAGUUUUCCAACGUUCAGAAUUUUGUCACAUUAUUCCUCGCCAAGAUUUUCCCAGAGUUGCGUCUCAGGGUUUUGAGCUUGCUUUUGGAAGUUAAUGUCUCCUACAAAAGAAUGAAAAAGUUAAUGUCUCCUAUAGAAAAAAUGGAGUAAAACACAUAUUGAGUUUUCCAACGUUCAGAAUUUUGUCACAUUAUUCCUCGUCAAGAUUUUCCCAGAGUUGCGUCUCAGGGUUUUGAGCUUGCUUUUGGAAGUUAAUGUCUCUGCAAUGGUGUGCUGAACAUGCUAGUUUAUGGCUGGAGGGGCACUUGACUGACUGACUGUUAUUUUUGUCUUAAAUGGUGAAGGUGUUAAUUUUCUUUUUAAGCCUGAGGUGAAGUAUUUGCAGCACAGGGAAGGUGAUAUGUCUGCCUUACACUACCAGCUUGAGACAGAUCCAGUGUCCCUGACUGAAGCAUCUCUUUUAUAUAUUCCAGUGGUUGAGGGAGGUCUUUUAUUUGAGACUCCAGCAGAGUUUUAUGCAUUAAUAGUGGAACAUAAUAUUUUGCUCUGAUGCUUCAAGUACUUACACUUGCAUGAAGACAAAAGCUGCAUCCAGAACAGACUAGUACUGUAGUGUUUACCAGGAGGCUGUAUAUAGCUCUUUAUAGUCAGAAGUAGCAUAUUUGAGAAUUUUUUAGGCAUAGUCAACAUAUUCAGUGUUGGUUUGAUAGCGGAGUGUUGUAACGGCGAAGUGCCUGCCCAGAGCGUGGCGAGGAAGGCAUGGCGGCCUCUCAUUGAAGGCUGUGCAUGGAGCCACGGCCACAUUGUGAGUCCAUAGGCCCACACACUACAUGGCUGAUUACUCAUCAUAAGAACUUAAGGAGUCUGUAAGAGUCUGGCAGGCUUAUACAAGGCAGCUCCCGUAAGCCAAACCCCACCUAACAUCACCAUCAUUGAAUUUAUCUAACCUUUUCCUGAAUGCGCUGACAGAGUAAGGCCCAUAGCCAUCAUAUUGGCACUCAUCAUGACUGCGCCAAGACUUUUCCACUUAUCUUGGAUCACCGUAAGCUGAUGAGCCUUCAAUCUUCCAAGCCAGUGGCAGCAGGAUGCAAGCCACUAGUUAUACAUUAUACUAAUGUAAUUUACUAUGUGUGCCCAUGCAAGGCCCAUGGAAAUGUUCCUCUGCCAGUAUGACCAGGACACCUCAGUAGGGCUGCAAGACACAUGAAUGAUAGAUGUGUCACCACCCAGAAUGCCUCCUGCCAGACCUCACUGGGCUUGGAAAAUGGGUCAGAAAUAAAUCCUAGGCACAGGUGACCUCCCUGAGUGUGUCUGGGCCUUUAGGGAAGUCGAGUGGAAUCACUCCAAGAUGCCUGCUUUGUCAAGUACUUUUGCAUUUACUAAGCAUUCCACAGAAGCCACACAUGCCUGGCCUGAGUGUGGGCAUGAGGUGGUGACCACUCCUAAUAUGUUUGGUGCUUUAUGGCUGAUGCUGAGCCACUAGUGUUGAAACAGAAGUGAGUCACCAUCCGUUGGUGGUGAGCUUUUUAUAUCAAUCCCUGUUAUCAUCUGGGCUGCUGUGAUCACAAACCUGUUACCCCCUUGUGCUCAUCAUCCACCUGUUUUUGGACACAGAGGCCCAUAGUUUCAAGCAUUUGGGGGCUUUCACACACAUCUGAUAAGGCUUUGGUAGAGGUUGUGUUAGCAUUUCCAUGGAUGGUUUUAUGAGCCUAGUGAUAGUUUGGCAAGGCUUCUGCACCAUGAAAGUGAGAAAUGCUCAUGAGAACCCAACUCAACUCCUCUUUGGUCUUGGAGAACUAGUUGUUGUGAGAGCCCAGAGUGUUUGAGAAUAUGGGUUUAAGAAGAUCUUCCUGCGAGGGAGUUAUAGACAGUACACUGCUCACACUAUUCUUGGUCCCUCUGGUGGUUCCUUUGAGACACCCUCCCAGCAUUGUCCUUCCCCCCACCUGCAUCUUUCCUUUUUCUCAUUGGCAAAGGUUGGGUCAGACACUUGCUAAGGGGAGUUAUGGUACACUGCUCACACCCUAUUCCUCGCCCCUCUUUUGUUUAUCAUCACACUCAAGGAGGCAAGCCAAGCAAGGGCAAAACUUAAUGAGUAAUAAAGCCUGCAACAUUCUCCUUUUAUUAAGCGAAUACCAAUCAACAUGCCAGAAGAAUUUGUUGUCUUGAUGCUCAGCUUCUGCAAGAGUUGAAGUAAAGGGAGGGAGGGAGUAUCUGCUGGCUUUCCUUCCUUCUUAUUUGUCAAGACCGGCUCAAACAUUUUUCACAUCUUUUCUCCAGUGUAUAAAUAUUACAUUAAUCUCUACUUUGAAUUCAUAGACAGAAGUAAGAUUGAAUACUGGAAGAGGUGCCAUAGACUCCCUUAAGAAUGAUGAACCUUUAGCUUGUCCUCCUUUGUCCAAGCAUCAAGAGGUUUUUGUGAAACAUUUUGAGGACAGGAAGGAAAAUUUGAGGCUACUGGCAAGGUGUUGGGAGGUAACCAGGUAGCUUAAAGUUUUUAUGGAGGAACAUGUUGAGAUUUAUGUGUGUGUGUGUGUGUGUGUGUGUGUGUGUGUGUGUGUGUGUGUGUGUGUGUAAAAAGAGAUUGUUAUUAAUAUAUUUUUUCCAAAUGUUUUUAGCUCCUAAUAAAAAGUAGACCUGUUAAACUUAUGCUCUGUUUGUUAUGUUGUGUUGACUGAUAUUUUAUUUCAUCAUGUAAAGAGUGUUAGUUGCUUGGUGAGAAAUGUGAUGAUGUGUUGUUUGUGAGGAAGCUGAUGCCUUAGACACCAAGACCUCUCUGCCCACUGCCAAGAGGGCCAGAUUAACCUCUUGGGGCCCAGGCCAGACGAGAUAGGACUGCCUCAUAAGCUAUCAGAGCAUGCUAUUUUUAAAAGAGUAUGCUGUGUGUUGACAAACAUACACACAAACAAAAUAAGCAUUAUAUAGAUGAUAAAAUUAACUUUGCAAUUCCUAGCUGGACCAGUCUUUUCAAUGAGGGCAUCAUUUAUCUAUUCAUUUUUUGGCCUUCAUGUGAGCUGUUGGGCCCCUUGUAAAGUGUUUGAGUGCCUAUAUAAGGGUUAAUCCUUCCCUGGGUGCAGAGGUGGGGGAAACACCAGCAGAGAAACUCACCUGUUGUCCUGUGGAGGGAGUGUUCCAGGGCAGCAGAACCAUGUGAUGACCUUAGCUACUUAAGUCUGUGGGUGGAGAACCAUUUCUGUUUAUUAUGAGAGGUUCUCUGUGCCCCUAACAAGAUAUCCUGGAGGGGCUGAGGCAGGCCAUGCAUGGAGUACCCACCAGCCUUAUUAUAUUGAACUGAUUGCAGACAUCUUGUACAGCAUAUACUUGAGUCAAAGUGUAUAUCAUGGUAAAGUCAAACGCAGGAAGCUAUGACGUAGUUGAUUAGAGAAUACAGUUGACCCCAAGAAGAAUUUGUAGGAUUCAAGUAACAGUCAGCCCAUUAAAACUUGAUCUUAGAAAAUCAGUUGAGAUAAUUAGACUUUUUCUCAAGUAUGUAUGUACAGUAUUUGUCAGGUGGCAAGUUUGCAGCUGCUAAACAUGACCAACGAAACAUUCAGAAGCUGGGAGUAUUCCAUCCCAGUGUUAUAAUUUCCAAUCAGAUGUAUAUUUGGUGUGAUGACUUUACAUUGAGGCGUUGUAACCUGCAGUGUAUCGUCCCUCAAACAGUAUGGUUUCCAAUAGUUCAGUUUUGAUUUUAUGUGGAUUUUCUAAGAAGGUUUUUUAGGAUUUUUAAAUUUUUUGACGAGCGGGAAAUUUAAAAAUCCUAAAAGAUCUUCUAUGACAGUCCGUAUAAAACUGAAACCGAACUAUUGGAAACCGUGCUAUUUGAGGGACGAUUGUAUUUACGUUUACCCGCUGCCAUUUCUUCUUCCUCUGGGGAUCAUCAUCAUCAUCAUCAUCAUCAUCCAUUAUUUAAGCCCACUGUGGGACAAACAAAGAUCUUUUCCAAUGUCUUCAACCUUUCCCUGUCUGAUGUUAAUAUACUUCAUCCUGCUCCUGCAAAGUUCUGAUUUAACCUCUCCACCUAGUUGUCGGUCAGCCCUGACGUACACCAUUCCUGGGUUGAUAGCACAUGAUCCUGUAAACUACAACUCGGUAAAUAAAGUGAUAAAUAAUGGGUAAUAGCAAUACCGGGUAGAAGUAGAUGCAGAGACAGAAUAUACAAGCCUAUAACCCUGAUUCUGUAAACUACAACUUGGUAAAUACAGUAAUAUGUAAAAGCAAGUUGGAUAAAAGUAGAUCUAGAGACAGAAGAACAAGUCUGACCCCAAUCCUGAAACUACAACUUGAUAAAUACAGUGUUAUCUAUGACAGGAUAACACAAGCCUGACCCUGAUCCUGUAAACUACAACUCAGUAAAUACAGUGUUACGGAACAUGCAGAAGCAGUUAUGGCUCAAGGAUGCAACAGAGAGCAUUUAUUAAUAGCCAACUGUAGUCCAAUCAGUGUGAGUGGGUGGGGUUGAGGAGGGAACAUACAUACAUACAUACACACAUAUACACAUACAUGCACACACAUACAUACAUACAUACUCCUGUCAGCUCAUUGCUACUAUGCCAGUGUUAUGCAGACCUCCUUUAUUGUCUGCCCACAUGGUGCUUGGGUUCUAUUUUAUGGCUUAAUAAUUUAUGUUGAAGAUGGCUAUUUUUAAUAAAGUUAUUGAUAUACUUGUUGGGAUGUUUGUUUUGAUCCAAGCUUUAUUGUGUUUGUUUUCUGUUUUUUUGUUUUGUUUUACUUUCUUUUGCCCUUGAGCUGCUUCCAUUCUUUUCCUCUUUUUCUUCUUUCUUGUUUAUAGUCCAUCUUCUUUUCAUUCUUGGGGUCGGACUUUUGCCAUGAUCCUCCUCCAUCUUGCUCAGUCCAGUGCUAAUCCUUCCUCUAUUUCUAACACAUCCAAGUCUUGUGUCCCUGUUCCUCUCCAUGGUCUCCCUGGUCAUCCUUUCAGGUAUCUACAUUUCCUCCACCAUCUCCAGCACUCCACUCCCUGUCUCUCUCCUCACAUGUCCAAACCAUUGCAACCUUCUCUGUCUUACUCUCUCCAGUGCUAAUCCUUCCUCUAUUUCUAACACAUCCAAGUCUUGUGUCCCUGUCCCUCUCCAGGUAUACCUCCAUUUCCUCCACCAUCUCCAGCACUCCACUCCCUGUCUCUCUCCUCACAUGUCUGAACCAUUGCAACCUUCUCUGUCUCACUCCAUUGCUG